This is a small nuclear RNA of Oryctolagus cuniculus (rabbit), 114 nucleotides long. Its record names the gene U2. It matches the Rfam family "U2 spliceosomal RNA". Rfam says of the family: U2 is a small nuclear RNA (snRNA) component of the spliceosome (involved in pre-mRNA splicing). Lineage: Eukaryota; Metazoa; Chordata; Mammalia; Lagomorpha; Leporidae. The record is from Ensembl.
AUAAUUUCUUGGCCUUUUGGCUAAGAUCAGGUGUAGUAUCUGUUCUUACCAGUUUAAAAAUUAUAAUUUGUAAAUUGAAAAAUUAUGAUUUAUUAAUUUUCCUUCUGACUAUAA